Molecule: long non-coding RNA, 2494 nt
Filed under: Pan troglodytes (chimpanzee)
Lineage: Eukaryota; Metazoa; Chordata; Mammalia; Primates; Hominidae
Description: long non-coding RNA NONPTRT011966
Source: RNAcentral
CCAGACCUUUGCUCAGACACCACGGUGCUCUGUCGUCUUCUUAAAGUCCUCUGAAGAGGACUCUACCUAAGUUGCCAAACAGAAUUUUAUCAGAUGACAGAAAUUUAUCAGAUGGCUUCCAGAAGCUUCCUUGUACCUGUUGCAUGCUUUUCCACAUCUUCCUCAAAUGGGCUAAGUAUAACUUAGUCACAUUAGCUCACUGUAAGUGAGCCAGCUCCUACAACCCUCCCCUUCUCUGUGGCUGCUGGAGUAGGAUGCACGGCCACCAUGAAGACCCCAGGUUACUCAGUGAGCUGAGCAUGAGACAUGAGGGCAGUCUGACCUCAGCUUUGGCACAGUUAAGCAGGAUGGGUGUAGCCCAGCAGGGUGGCCGCCUGGUGUUACCUCCUUCCUUUGCCACUCCAUGUGCAUCCAUUUUAAACCCGGACGCUUGGUCAAAGAAGCCAUUUACUAAGCCAGGUUCUCAGGACAGGCAAUUCUGCCAGAUUGCUCCAGAAUUCAGGCCCACAGGGUAGGUUGGAUGGGGAUGGCGCUAAGUAAGGGUUUGUGUGGCUGCUGUUUCCCUUUUGUUGGUAAGGACUUAAAUUAAGUAUCACUGUGACCUGCAGGCUAACUAUGACAUGAAUCCCUCCCAGUGGAUGGUGUUGCCAGAGUCCUGAUGGUCUUGGAUGAGCAGUUUGCCCAGGGAAGAGCAGGGAGAGACAAGAUCUUGUUAUGGUACCCAGAUUGGUCCUUGAUAUGGUUUGGCUGUGUCCCCACCAAAUUUCAGCUUGAAUUGUAUCUCCCAGAAUUCCCACAUGUUGUGGGAGGGACCCAGGUGGAGGUAAUUGAAUCCUGGGGGCCAGUCUUUCCUGUGCUAUUCUUGUGAUAGUGAGUAAGUCUCAUGAGAUCUGAUGGGUUUAUCUAGGGUUUCCACUUUUGCUUCUUCCUCAUUUUCCCUUGCUGCCACCAUGUAAGAAGUGCCUUUACCUCCCACCAUGAUUCUGAGGACUCCCCAGCCAUGUGGAACUGUAAGUCCAGUUAAACCUCUUUUUCUUCCCAGUCUCGGGUGUAUCUUUAUCAGCAGACUGAAAAUGGACUAAUACAGUAAAUUGGUACCAGUAGAGUGGGGUGUUGCUGAAAAGAUACCCGAAAGUGUGGAGGUGACUUUGGAACUGGGUAACAAGCAGCAAUUGGAACAGUUUGAAGGGCUCAGAAGACGACAGGAAAAUGUGGGAAAGUUUGCAGCUUCCUAGAGACUUGUUGAAUAGCUUUGCCCAAAAUGCUGAUAGUGAUAUGGACAAUAAAAUCCAGGCUGAGGUGGUCUCAGAUAGAGAUGAGGAACCUGUUGGGAACUGGAGCAAAGGUGACUCUUGUUAUGUUUUAGCAAAGAGAGUGGCAGCAUUUUGCCAUGCCCUAGAGAUUUGUGGAACUUUGAACUUGAGAGAGAUGAUUUAGGGUAUUUGGCAGAAGAAAUUUCUAAGCAGGAAAGUAUUCAAAAGGUGAUUUGGGUGCUGUGAAAGACACUCAGUUUUAAAAGGGAAACAGAGCAUCAAAGUUCAGAAAAUUUGCAGCCUGAUUGCAAUAGAAAAUAAAAACCAACUUUCUGGGGAGAAUUUCAAGUCAGCUGCAGAAAUUUGCAUAAAUAGCAAGGAGCCUAAUGUUAAUUCCCAAGACCAUGAGGAAAAUGUCUUCAAACCAUAUCAGAAACCUUCGUGGCGGCCGCUUCCCAUCACAGGCCUGGAGACCCAGGAGGAAAAAGUGGUUUUGUGGGCUGGGCCCAGGGUCCCCAUGCUGUAUGCAGCCUAGGGACUUGGGGCCUUGUGUCCUAGCUGCUCCAGCCAUGGCUGGAAGGGGCCAAUGUACAGCUCAGGCUGUGGCUUCAGAGGGUGGAAGCCCCAAGCCUUGGCAGCUUCCAUGUGGUGUUGAGCCUGCGGUGCACAGAAGUCAAGAAUUGAGGUUUGGGAACCUCCACCUAAAUUUCAGAAGAUGUAUGGAAACACCUAGAUGCCCAGGCAGAAGUUUGCUGCAGGUGCGGGGCUCUCAUGAAGAACCUCUGCUAAGGCAGUGUGGAAGGGAAAUGUGGGGUUGGAGCCCCCAAACAGAGUCCUUAGUGGGGUGCUGCCUAGUGGAGCUGUGAGAAGAGGGCCAUCAUCCUCCAGACCCCAGAAUGGUAGAUCCACUGACAGCUUGAACUGUGCACCUGGAAGAGCCGCAGCCACUCAAUGCCAGCCCGUGAAAGCAGCCAGAAGGGAGGCUGUACCCUGCAAAACCACAGGGGCAGAGCUGCCCAAGACUGUGGGAACCCACCUCAUGCUUCAGCAUAACCUGGAUGUGAGACCUGGAGUCAAAGGAGAUCAUUUUGGAGCUUUAAAGUUUGACUGCCAUGCAGGAUUUCGGACUUGCAUGGGCCCUGUAACCCCUUUGUUUUGGCCAAUUUCUCCCAUUUGGAACGGCUGUAAUUACCCAAUACCUGUAUCCCCAUUGUUUCUAGGAAGUAACUAGCUUGCUUUUG